GCUGGGCAUAGUGGCUUAUGCUUGUAAUCCCAGCACUCUGGGAGGCUGAGGUGGGUGGAUCACCUGAGGUCAGGAGUUCAAGACCAGCCUGGCCAACAUGGUGAAACCCCAUCUCUA
This 117-nucleotide non-coding RNA is filed under the name Chlorocebus sabaeus (green monkey). Lineage: Eukaryota; Metazoa; Chordata; Mammalia; Primates; Cercopithecidae. The record is from Rfam by way of RNAcentral.